Non-coding RNA from Mycena filopes, 100 nucleotides. The record is from the annotation of a GenBank genome assembly. NCBI's taxonomy places the organism in Eukaryota, Fungi, Basidiomycota, Agaricomycetes, Agaricales, Mycenaceae.
GGCUUGGAAGUGGAUGGCUCACACCUGCCACAUUCUGUAGGAGUAAGGAUUAAGGGCAGAAUCUAAGCAGGAGGUGCUUGUUCGAAUCAGGCCUGAGCCA